RNAcentral lists this ribosomal RNA (1443 nucleotides) under metagenome. RNAcentral describes it as "bacterial SSU rRNA". It matches the Rfam family "Bacterial small subunit ribosomal RNA". The record is from RNAcentral.
AGAGUUUGAUCCUGGCUCAGGAUGAACGCUGGCGGCGUGCUUAACACAUGCAAGUCGAACGAUCCUUCGGGAUAGUGGCGGACGGGUGAGUAACGCGUGGGAAUCUGCCCUUAGGAGGGGGAUAACGGCUGGAAACGGCCGCUAAUACCCCAUAUGCCGAGAGGUGAAAGGAAAUUCGCCUGAGGAUGAGCCCGCGUCUGAUUAGCUAGUUGGUGGGGUAAAGGCCUACCAAGGCGACGAUCAGUAGCUGGUCUGAGAGGAUGAUCAGCCACACUGGGACUGAGACACGGCCCAGACUCCUACGGGAGGCAGCAGUGGGGAAUUUUCCGCAAUGGGCGAAAGCCUGACGGAGCAACGCCGCGUGGGGGAUGAAGGCCUCUGGGCUGUAAACCCCUUUCCCCAAGGAAGAAGACAUGACGGUACUUGAGGAAUAAGCCACGGCUAAUUCCGUGCCAGCAGCCGCGGUAAUACGGGAGUGGCAAGCGUUAUCCGGAAUUAUUGGGCGUAAAGCGUCCGCAGGCGGCUCUGUAAGUCUGUUGUUAAAGCGUGGAGCUCAACUCCAUUUCAGCAAUGGAAACUACAGGGCUUGAGUGUGGUAGGGGCAGAGGGAAUUCCCGGUGUAGCGGUGAAAUGCGUAGAUAUCGGGAAGAACACCAGUGGCGAAGGCGCUCUGCUGGGCCAUAACUGACGCUCAUGGACGAAAGCCAGGGGAGCGAAAGGGAUUAGAUACCCCUGUAGUCCUGGCCGUAAACGAUGAACACUAGGUGUCGGGGGAAUCGACCCCCUCGGUGUCGUAGCCAACGCGUUAAGUGUUCCGCCUGGGGAGUACGCACGCAAGUGUGAAACUCAAAGGAAUUGACGGGGGCCCGCACAAGCGGUGGAGUAUGUGGUUUAAUUCGAUGCAACGCGAAGAACCUUACCAGGGUUUGACAUCCUGCGAACCCCUGAGAAAUCGGGGGGUGCCUUCGGGAGCGCAGAGACAGGUGGUGCAUGGCUGUCGUCAGCUCGUGUCGUGAGAUGUUGGGUUAAGUCCCGCAACGAGCGCAACCCACGUCUUUAGUUGCCAGCAUUCAGUUGGGCACUCUAGAGAGACCGCCGGUGAUAAACCGGAGGAAGGUGUGGAUGACGUCAAGUCAUCAUGCCCCUUACAUCCUGGGCUACACACGUACUACAAUGCUACGGACAAAGGGCAGCAAGCUCGCGAGAGUUAGCAAAUCCCAUAAACCGUGGCUCAGUUCAGAUCGUAGGCUGCAACUCGCCUACGUGAAGGAGGAAUCGCUAGUAAUCGCAGGUCAGCAUACUGCGGUGAAUACGUUCCCGGGCCUUGUACACACCGCCCGUCACACCAUGGAAGUUGGCCAUGCCCGAAGUCGUUACUCCAACCCUUGUGGAGGAGGACGCCGAAGGUGGGGCUGAUGACUGGGGUGAAGUCGUAACAAGGUA